This 528-nucleotide ribosomal RNA is filed under the name Bifidobacterium bifidum. RNAcentral describes it as "bacterial SSU rRNA". It matches the Rfam family "Bacterial small subunit ribosomal RNA", at positions 163 to 703 of the family's 1533-position model. Lineage: Bacteria; Bacillati; Actinomycetota; Actinomycetes; Bifidobacteriales; Bifidobacteriaceae. The record is from RNAcentral.
GUAAUGCCGGAUGUUCCACAUGAUCGCAUGUGAUUGUGGGAAAGAUUCUAUCGGCGUGGGAUGGGGUCGCGUCCUAUCAGCUUGUUGGUGAGGUAACGGCUCACCAAGGCUUCGACGGGUAGCCGGCCUGAGAGGGCGACCGGCCACAUUGGGACUGAGAUACGGCCCAGACUCCUACGGGAGGCAGCAGUGGGGAAUAUUGCACAAUGGGCGCAAGCCUGAUGCAGCGACGCCGCGUGAGGGAUGGAGGCCUUCGGGUUGUAAACCUCUUUUGUUUGGGAGCAAGCCUUCGGGUGAGUGUACCUUUCGAAUAAGCGCCGGCUAACUACGUGCCAGCAGCCGCGGUAAUACGUAGGGCGCAAGCGUUAUCCGGAUUUAUUGGGCGUAAAGGGCUCGUAGGCGGCUCGUCGCGUCCGGUGUGAAAGUCCAUCGCUUAACGGUGGAUCUGCGCCGGGUACGGGCGGGCUGGAGUGCGGUAGGGGAGACUGGAAUUCCCGGUGUAACGGUGGAAUGUGUAGAUAUCGGAAA